AAACCAAUCCAGUUCUAAAAUAUGUAUUAAUUCACUUGUAUUAAACAUGCCAACUGCCAUAAAUUUAGUUGUAUUUUUAGUACUGAUUGUUAAAAAGCCAGA
Long non-coding RNA from Perognathus longimembris pacificus (Pacific pocket mouse), 102 nucleotides. RefSeq lists it as uncharacterized. The transcript has 4 exons. The record is from RefSeq and is a predicted model, not a curated record. Lineage: Eukaryota; Metazoa; Chordata; Mammalia; Rodentia; Heteromyidae.